AACAUCGCGCACCUGCGGGAACCUGCGGAAGGAUCAUUACAGAGUUGCAAAACUCCCUAAACCAUUGUGAACGUUACCUAAACCGUUGCUUCGGCGGGCGGCCCGGGUCCUUCCCGGCGCCCCUCGGCCCUCGCGGGCGCCCGCCGGAGGUAAACCAAACUAUUGCAUUGUAUGGCCUCUCUGAGUCUUCUGUACUGAAUAAGUCAAAACUUUUAACAACGGAUCUCAGAUCGGAAGAGC
RNAcentral lists this unclassified non-coding RNA (240 nucleotides) under soil metagenome. Its description in RNAcentral is "partial contains 5.8S ribosomal RNA, internal transcribed spacer 2, and large subunit ribosomal RNA". The record is from RNAcentral.